AGGACGAACGCUGGCGGCGUGCUUAACACAUGCAAGUCGAGCGGAAAGGCCCUUCGGGGUACUCGAGCGGCGAACGGGUGAGUAACACGUGAGUAAUCUGCCCCUAGCUCUGGGAUAGCUCCGGGAAACCGGGAUUAAUACCAGAUACGACCACUUUAGACAUCUGCUGUGGUGGAAAGAAUUUCGGCUAGGGAUGAGCUCGCGGCCUAUCAGCUUGUUGGUGAGGUACGGCUCACCAAGGCGACGACGGGUA
Molecule: ribosomal RNA, 253 nt
Filed under: uncultured bacterium
Lineage: Bacteria
Description: partial small subunit ribosomal RNA
Rfam family: Bacterial small subunit ribosomal RNA
Source: RNAcentral